Daphnia magna is the source of this 235-nucleotide long non-coding RNA. RefSeq lists it as uncharacterized. The record is from RefSeq and is a predicted model, not a curated record. Lineage: Eukaryota; Metazoa; Arthropoda; Branchiopoda; Diplostraca; Daphniidae. The transcript is spliced from 3 exons.
AGUUUUAUUGACACGGAUGGAAAAGUGAUACAACAAGACGUUGCUGUUCCGUGUGUUGUUCCUGCAAAUUGCCAGAAAUGUUUAAAAACUGGAAAACUUCGUCUCCAUCCUGGAUCAGGAAAAAUCGCAGUUGUUACAAAAGAAGGACGCUUUGAUUUGAGCUAUCCGGAAUUUAAAUGUUCAGAAUGUGAAGGUGUGAUGAUAGCAGCCGAGAAUGAUUUAAUUUCAUCCGGAU